Molecule: non-coding RNA, 30 nt
Filed under: Homo sapiens (human)
Lineage: Eukaryota; Metazoa; Chordata; Mammalia; Primates; Hominidae
Source: RNAcentral
UGGACAGGUGUCCGCGUGGGUUCGAGCCCC